RNAcentral lists this ribosomal RNA (457 nucleotides) under uncultured bacterium. RNAcentral describes it as "bacterial SSU rRNA". It matches the Rfam family "Bacterial small subunit ribosomal RNA", at positions 340 to 786 of the family's 1533-position model. The record is from RNAcentral.
UACGGAAGGCAGCAGUGGGGAAUAUUGCACAAUGGGCGCAAGCCUGAUGCAGCCAUGCCGCGUGUAUGAAGAAGGCCUUCGGGUUGUAAAGUACUUUCAGUCGUGAGGAAGGUGUUAAGGUUAAUAACCUUAGCAAUUGACGUUAGCGACAGAAGAAGCACCGGCUAACUCCGUGCCAGCAGCCGCGGUAAUACGGAGGGUGCGAGCGUUAAUCGGAAUUACUGGGCGUAAAGGGCACGCAGGCGGUUAAUUAAGUUGGAUGUGAAAUCCCCGGGCUUAACCUGGGAAUGGCAUUCAAGACUGGUUAGCUAGAGUCUUGUAGAGGGGGUAGAAUUCCAUGUGUAGCGGUGAAAUGCGUAGAGAUGUGGAGGAAUACCGGUGGGCGAAGGCGGCCCCUGGGACAAAGGACUGACGCUCAUGUGCGAAAGCGUGGGGAGCAAACGAGGGAUUAGAUACC